This 366-nucleotide ribosomal RNA is filed under the name uncultured bacterium. Its description in RNAcentral is "bacterial SSU rRNA". It matches the Rfam family "Bacterial small subunit ribosomal RNA", at positions 29 to 426 of the family's 1533-position model. The record is from RNAcentral.
AGCGAACGCUGGCGGCAGGCCUAAUACAUGCAAGUCGAGCGCACCUUCGGGUGAGCGGCGGACGGGUGAGUAACGCGUGGGAAUAUGCCCUUUGGUACGGAACAACUGAGGGAAACUUCAGCUAAUACCGCAUGUGCCCUUCGGGGAAGGAUUAUCGCCAUUGGAGUAGCCCGCGUUGGAUUAGCUAGUUGGUAGGGUAAAGGCCUACCAAGGCUACGAUCCAUAGCUGGUCUGAGAGGAUGAUCAGCCACAUUGGGACUGAGACACGGCCCAAACUCCUACGGGAGGCAGCAGUAGGGAAUCUUGCGCAAUGGGCGAAAGCCUGACGCAGCCAUGCCGCGUGAAUGAUGAAGGUCUUAGGAUUGU